GCGCAGAUAUCAGGAGGAACACCGAUGGCGAAGGCAGAUCUCUGGGCCGCUACUGACGCUGAGGAGCGAAAGCAUGGGGAGCGAACAGGAUUAGAUACCCUGGUAGUCCAUGCCGUAAACGUUGGGAACUAGAUGUAGGGCCUGUUCCACGGGUCCUGUGUCGUAGCUAACGCAUUAAGUUCCCCGCCUGGGGAGUACGGCCGCAAGGCUAAAACUCAAAGGAAUUGACGGGGGCCCGCACAAGCGGCGGAGCAUGCGGAUUAAUUCGAUGCAACGCGAAGAACCUUACCAAGGCUUGACAUAUAGAAGAACACUGCAGAGAUGCAGGACUCUUUGGACACUUCUAUACAGGUGGUGCAUGGUUGUCGUCAGCUCGUGUCGUGAGAUGUUCGGUUAAGUCCGGCAACGAGCGCGACCCUCGUCCUAUGUUGCCAGCACGUGAUGGUGGGAACUCAUGGGAUACUGCCGUGGUCAACACGGAGGAAGGUGGGGAUGACGUCAAAUCAUCAUGCCCCUUAUGUCUUGGGCUUCACGCAUGCUACAAUGGUCGGUACAAAGGGCUGCGAUACCGUAAGGUGGAGCGAAUCCCAAAAAGCCGGUCUCAAUUCGGAUUGGGGUCUGCAACUCGACCCCAUGAAGUCGGAGUCGCUAGUAAUCGCAGAUCAGCAACGCUGCGGUGAAUACGUUCCCGGGUCUUGUACACACCGCCCGUC
RNAcentral lists this ribosomal RNA (713 nucleotides) under uncultured Actinomycetes bacterium. Its description in RNAcentral is "bacterial SSU rRNA". It matches the Rfam family "Bacterial small subunit ribosomal RNA", at positions 688 to 1398 of the family's 1533-position model. The record is from RNAcentral. Lineage: Bacteria; Bacillati; Actinomycetota; Actinomycetes.